Molecule: ribosomal RNA, 249 nt
Filed under: uncultured bacterium
Lineage: Bacteria
Description: partial 16S ribosomal RNA
Rfam family: Bacterial small subunit ribosomal RNA
Source: RNAcentral
AAGAUGGCGACCGGCGCACGGGUGAGUAACACGUAUCCAACCUGCCGAUAACUCUGGAAUGGCCUUUCGAAAGAAAGAUUAAUACCGGAUGGCAUACGAAUAUCGCAUGAUAUUUUUAUUUAAAGAAUUUCGGUUAUCGAUGGGGAUGCGUUCCAUUAGUUUGUUGGCGGGGUAACGGCCCACCAAGACAACGAUGGAUAGGGGUUCUGAGAGGAAGGUCCCCCACAUUGGAACUGAGACACGGUCCAA